UUUGAUUCAAUGUACAAGGAAUUAGAUUAGAAAGAUAAAAUAAUGUUAGGUUGAUCUUGUUGAGUUGAUUCGAUGUAUAGUUGAUAGGACUUCAACGUCGGUAAAGUUACUCUUCUAGUUCGUACUGUGAAGAUGGAUCGUAGAGUAAGCGCAUGAUCGCAACACAUCAGAUGGGUCGCAGAGCAUUUGCAGCUAUCGUAAAGUUCACUACAAGUCUUAAAGCAUACUUCAGUUCGUAAAGUGGACAAAGGAAUUGUAAAGACAAACAAAGCUUGUUGAGUAAAACCUGAAUGU
RNAcentral lists this long non-coding RNA (294 nucleotides) under Panax ginseng (ginseng). RNAcentral describes it as "long non-coding RNA (PGIN_LNC017418)". The record is from RNAcentral. Lineage: Eukaryota; Viridiplantae; Streptophyta; Magnoliopsida; Apiales; Araliaceae.